CAGCUUCCUAGGAGUUUGUGCCCUGGACUCCCCGGCCCCGACCGCCCGCCUCCCGCGCACUAAGAGGGACUGGGGAUUGACUGGGUCAGCGUGCCUGAGGACGGUCAGUCUUGUAAGAGGAAAGUGGUCACCACUGAAACUCGUGUCGCCCCGGGAAUUACUUAGUUCCUAGAGUCCGACCCGCCGCCAGCCAGCACCGAGAGGGAGGAGGAGGAGGAGGAGGACGGCGAGGAGGACGGCGAGGAGGAGAACGAGCACUAGGAGAAGAGGACGAGCCGGAGCCCGAGCUGGAGGUUGGUGGUUGGUUGGUGGUCGGUGGUGCUGAGCAGGGGGGCUUAGGGCGGUACGAGCGCG
RNAcentral lists this long non-coding RNA (354 nucleotides) under Vombatus ursinus (common wombat). RNAcentral describes it as "lncRNA (ENSVURG00010000956.1)". Lineage: Eukaryota; Metazoa; Chordata; Mammalia; Diprotodontia; Vombatidae. The record is from RNAcentral.